UAAAACCUACAGAACUUAUCUACAUCUCCUGACUGCAAAUCAGACGCUUUUAUUAAACUAAGGCUUC
Molecule: transfer RNA, 67 nt
Filed under: Intellagama lesueurii (Eastern water dragon)
Lineage: Eukaryota; Metazoa; Chordata; Lepidosauria; Squamata; Agamidae
Description: tRNA-Ala
Source: RNAcentral